This 346-nucleotide unclassified non-coding RNA is filed under the name soil metagenome. RNAcentral's name for it is "partial contains 5.8S ribosomal RNA, internal transcribed spacer 2, and large subunit ribosomal RNA". The stretch from base 1 to 120 matches the Rfam family "5.8S ribosomal RNA", at positions 35 to 154 of the family's 154-position model. The record is from RNAcentral.
GAUGAAGAACGUAGCGAAAUGCGAUAAGUAAUGUGAAUUGCAGAAUUCAGUGAAUCAUCGAAUCUUUGAACGCACAUUGCGCCCGCCAGUAUUCUGGCGGGCAUGCCUGUCUGAGCGUCAUUUCAACCCUCAUGCCCCUAGGGCGUGGUGUUGGGGAUCGGCCAAAGCCCGCGAGGGACGGCCGGCCCCUAAAUCUAGUGGCGGACCCGUCGUGGCCUCCUCUGCGAAGUAGUGAUAUUCCGCAUCGGAGAGCGAUGAGCCCCUGCCGUUAAACCCCCAACUUUCCAAGGUUGACCUCAGAUCAGGUAGGAAUACCCGCUGAACUUAAGCAUAUCUAAGCGGAGGA